Molecule: ribosomal RNA, 253 nt
Filed under: Phocaeicola coprocola DSM 17136
Lineage: Bacteria; Pseudomonadati; Bacteroidota; Bacteroidia; Bacteroidales; Bacteroidaceae
Also listed under: 2 other names
Description: partial 16S ribosomal RNA
Rfam family: Bacterial small subunit ribosomal RNA
Source: RNAcentral
UACGGAGGAUGCGAGCGUUAUCCGGAUUUAUUGGGUUUAAAGGGAGCGCAGACGGGAGAUUAAGUCAGUUGUGAAAGUUUGCGGCUCAACCGUAAAAUUGCAGUUGAUACUGGUUUCCUUGAGUGCAGUUGAGGCAGGCGGAAUUCGUGGUGUAGCGGUGAAAUGCUUAGAUAUCACGAAGAACCCCGAUUGCGAAGGCAGCUUGCUAAACUGUAACUGACGUUCAUGCUCGAAAGUGUGGGUAUCAAACAGG